This 289-nucleotide unclassified non-coding RNA is filed under the name Hevea brasiliensis (rubber tree). The record is from RNAcentral. Lineage: Eukaryota; Viridiplantae; Streptophyta; Magnoliopsida; Malpighiales; Euphorbiaceae.
GUUUAAUAAUUUUGUAAGCAAAGUAAAUUCUAUUGUUUCAGUGGAUCUUUUACCAAUAUAAUCAUGAUUUUAUUCUAAUGCUAGAUUUUUUCCUCCUCUCGUUGAUACUUGGCAUUAAGUUAAAAUUCUAGUCCACAAUGAUGCGACCCAACCACUGUUUAGUUUUUGUAUUCUUGUUAUUGUGCCUUGUGAGUUGUCCAAAGAAAAAGUUGUUCUCAGUGGGCCUAAUCUAUAAUGUAUCUGAUCUUUUACUCACAAGGAAAUUUUGCGAACGGUUUCACAUUUUCUU